UGCCUGGGUCCUUUUGGGUCCAAACUGUUAACAUUUUCCUCCUGUCUCCUUACUUUUUAGCUACUUUAAACAGAAACUUGGACAAAUAGCUGCCAAUAUGUCAAUAUUCUUUUCAUUGCACCUGCCAUCAGCUUCCAGGGAACCCCCUCAGGCCAGCUCUGUCAAGCUUCUGCUGGGGAUAAUCAAAUCUUCCCAUGAAAUUCAGCUUCUGUUGUUUCAUCAGUUAGUAAACCAAGGACAGGGUGAUUUCUCAUCUCCUGAAGCACGAGAGUAGCUACCACGAGCUCACCUACUGCUACUACAUGGGACUGCCUGCAGCGGGCACGAGGCUUAGACAUUAUGGGGACAAUUCAGGUACUGCUUAAGUGCAAAAGCCUUUAUUUCUGACAAAGACAGAGGCCCCGGAAUAGUGUGAGCUUUGGGCUGUGGCAUGAUGGUGGGAUGCAGUACUGCCUCUAGGGUAGUGAGACCUAGAAGUCAUUGCUUCAGCGUAGUGCUUGUCAUUCCCCUUGUGGCAUUCGCAAACCUCCCCAAAGACUCCUUCCUCUGCCAUGGAGGAACACACCAAGCACUCCAUUAAAACAACCCAAAUUAAAGAUAUUGUGGCUAUCCAAGGAGUGUGGCAGGGUCUCUGAUGGGGCUGUAAGCCCUGGUGACUACUGGGCACCCGUGGUGACAACUUACCCCCCACCCCAGGAUGUGCCUCUGAGCCAGUGCCACCCUUGGAUUACUUCCAGCCACGGUCCAGCUCUGCAGAAGAGGCAGACUGGGGCCUAAACAGGCCUUACAUGUGGCUGAUGUGUGCCUUGACUGCCAGCAGCCAGCCCUGCGCAUUACAGUGUUUUCCAGAAAGCUCCUUGGCUGCUUCACUGCAAUGAAGUUUUUAUGGCUAACACUUCAGUAUGGCAACAAGCUAACAAACAGAACAAUUCUGUUAAAAGUGGAGGCAAUUAACAUUCAUGGAAAGAAAUGCAUUGAAGUUGUCAGCUUUCAGGCAAAGAAUAUUACAGCAAUGCCCUCUAGUGUUGCUUUCGUUAAAGUGUGAGUGAAUGCUUGCUGGGAAAGAUCAUGCCGUACAGAAGGCUGCAUCCUUCCUUCUCUGCUUGCAAGAGUAAGCCCUUGACAGAGAGUGCACAAGAGAAAGGUCGAAUUCGUGGUACUUGACCUUUUCCAAGCUGGAUAUUUUUUGCCUGAAAAUAAAAAGAAGUAUGAGUUGAUGAUGUGUGUGUUA
Molecule: long non-coding RNA, 1231 nt
Filed under: Coturnix japonica (Japanese quail)
Lineage: Eukaryota; Metazoa; Chordata; Aves; Galliformes; Phasianidae
Description: lncRNA (ENSCJPG00005008170.1)
Source: RNAcentral